CUGCCAUUUCCCUUAUUAAUGUGAAACUAACUUACCAGCUAUAGGAUCCAUGGCUUCCCUAUUGCUUGGAGAAUAUGAACUCUGAGAAGAAGAAAGUCCACCAGUAGAACUGCUAGUAAAGUGCAUGUUUGAUCUACGAGCACGAGGACCUCCUAAUCCCCGGCCAGGGUGAAACAUUCUACGUACAUGUCGAACACCACUCGAUUCAUCAUAACCCAAAAGGGCUCUGUGUUCAAGUGUAAGAUGAGCUGCAAAGUCAUCCGUGACAUGAUUAGGAUCGCCUCCAGGUAACGCUGCACAUAUUGGACAAAUCUGAAAUGGAAGUAAAGAAAGCAGCUUAAUAAAUGAACGUCAAUAAGACAUCUUUCUGGACGAGUAUUCUGCUGUAAGUUUUACUAUUAUCAAGUUUUAACCAACAGAAAACACAGCAGAUCCUAAAUCAGUGAAAAGCAGUAGAAACCUAAGCAAGAACUGUUCACACAAGGUCCCUCAGGGUCAAACACAACAGUUUCAGACACACCAAACUUGAUCUCUGGCAGGGCCUUCUAACAGCCUGCCUGAUUCAUUUGUAUGGUCUA
Molecule: long non-coding RNA, 578 nt
Filed under: Homo sapiens (human)
Lineage: Eukaryota; Metazoa; Chordata; Mammalia; Primates; Hominidae
Description: PREDICTED lncRNA (TCONS_00159663)
Source: RNAcentral